AUUGAACGCUGGCGGCGUGCCUAACACAUGCAAGUCGAACGAAGUAUGAGAGCUUGCUCUCAUUACUUAGUGGCGCACGGGUGAGUAACACGUGGAUGAUCUACCCAUUAGUUUGGAAUAACAGUUGGAAACGACUGCUAAUACCAGAUACGAUCCUUUUUCAACUUAGGGUGAAAGGCGGCCUCUGCCUGCAAGCUGUCGCUAAUGGAUGAGUCCGCGUCUCAUUAGGUAGUUGGUAGGGUAAUGGCCUACCAAGCCAACGAUGAGUAGCCGGCCUGAGAGGGGUAAUCGGCCACACUGGGACUGGAACACGGCCCAGACUCCUGCGGGAGGCAGCAGUGGGGAAUAUUGCGCAAUGGGCGAAAGCCUGACGCAGCGACGCCGCGUGAGGGAUGAAGGUUCUCGGAUCGUAAACCUCUGUCAGAAGGGAAGAAGUGCAUUGAGAGUAACUGCUCAAUGUUUGACGGUACCUUCAAAGGAAGCACC
This 486-nucleotide ribosomal RNA is filed under the name uncultured bacterium. RNAcentral's name for it is "bacterial SSU rRNA". It matches the Rfam family "Bacterial small subunit ribosomal RNA", at positions 30 to 494 of the family's 1533-position model. The record is from RNAcentral.